CCUACGGGAGGCAGCAGUGGGGAAUAUUGGGCAAUGGGCGCAAGCCUGACCCAGCAACGCCGCGUGAAGGAAGAAGGCUUUCGGGUUGUAAACUUCUUUUGUCAGGGACGAAGCAAGGGACGGUACCUGACGAAUCAGCCACGGCUAACUACGUGCCAGCAGCCGCGGUAAUACGUAGGGGGCAAGCGUUAGCCGGAAGCAUUGGGCGUAAAGAGUUCGUAGGUGGCACGUUAAGUCAGGGGUGAAAGGCGGAAGCUUAACUACCGUAGGGCACUGGAUACUGUGGUGCUUGAUUGCGGUAGAGGUAAAGGGAAUUCCUGGUGUAGCGGUGAAAUGCGUAGAUAUCAGGAGGAACAUCGGUGGCGUAAGCGCUUUACUGGGCCGUAAGUGACGCUGAGGAACGAAAGCCUGGGGAGCAAAUGGGAUUAGAUACCCUUGUAGUC
Molecule: ribosomal RNA, 443 nt
Filed under: uncultured bacterium
Lineage: Bacteria
Description: partial 16S ribosomal RNA
Rfam family: Bacterial small subunit ribosomal RNA
Source: RNAcentral